RNAcentral lists this long non-coding RNA (253 nucleotides) under Volvox carteri. Its description in RNAcentral is "long non-coding RNA (VCAR_LNC001260)". The record is from RNAcentral. Lineage: Eukaryota; Viridiplantae; Chlorophyta; Chlorophyceae; Chlamydomonadales; Volvocaceae.
CCCAGAACACAAAGGUUGAAUACAGUUAUUGUGCAGGAUACAUCAACGGCAUAAGAGCAGCAAACUCGCUCUUGUUCAAGCCGCGUUGGCGAACACCGACCGACGACCGGGGAAUCCAGGCUCACGGAGAAUUCACAACGGAUUAAAAUAUGCGGAUUACACACAGCUAAAUUUGCAUGCUAAGUCCACAGCUGGAGAUUAUAAAUGCCACCAAAUGCAGCUUCCAACAACGCUGUCUUACCGUUCACCCGGG